GACGUAGGAUGCGAGCGUUGUUCGGAUUUAUUGGGCGUAAAGCGUGCGUAGGCGGUCACUUAAGUCUGGUGUUAAAGCUAGAGGCUCAACCUCCGUGUUGCACUGGAUACUGGGUGACUUGAGUGCGGUAGGGGAAGGUAGAAUUCCGAGUGUAGCGGUGAAAUGCGUAGAUAUUCGGAAGAAUACCGGUGGCGAAGGCGACCUUCUGGGCCGCAACUGACGCUGAGGCACGAAAGCGUGGGGAGCAAACGGG
Molecule: ribosomal RNA, 253 nt
Filed under: uncultured bacterium
Lineage: Bacteria
Description: partial 16S ribosomal RNA
Rfam family: Bacterial small subunit ribosomal RNA
Source: RNAcentral